CAUUAGCAAUAAUAAUUUAUUGAGUGUCUCUUUUUCAUGAGACAUAAGGAUGUUGAAAUAUAAUUUAGGAAAGAUUAAGAUUAAAGUGACUCAGAUUCAAGAAAGGAUUUCAACUGUGAUGUAGAUGCAAAAAUAUAUAGAGAACAAGGAAAAAUUGAAUAGACUUUGAAGUGUGCUCUGAUUAUAUUUCAGUCUGAACCUGGACAACUGGUUGUUAUUCUUGUUUCUGUGUCCUAUAUCUACUAUUUAGGCCUACCUAAAUUCUCUUCUCCUUUCUAGUAGACUUUGAAGAAAGAAAGAAAGAGAAGAAAGAAAGAAAGAAAGAAAGAAAGAAAGAAAGAAAGAAAGAAAGAAAGAAAGAAAGAAAAAGAGAAAAAGGAAAGAAAGAAAGAAGAAAGAGGAAGGAAGGAAGAAAGAAAGAAAAGAAAAGAAAGAAUUCUUUUUCAUUUUACUUUCCCUGAAUCCUUCCCCAGGGAGAAGCUACACUAUUGAAAGGUGAGACAUAUGGCCCAAUCAAAUGUGUUGUCUCUGAUGACAGUCAACCCACCUCCAAACACAUAAGUGUUUCUGAGACUAUUCGGUCCAGUGGAGCCAUCAUCUGACUUUUGACAGAACCCAGCCUGGUCCAGUCAGCAGAAUUACACAGCUGACCUGUUGACUCAUUGAAUAUAAUACAGAGCUGCUGUUUUAAGGUAGUCAGUAUUGACAUGAUUUGCUACACGGAAAAUAUUACUGC
RNAcentral lists this long non-coding RNA (736 nucleotides) under Aotus nancymaae (Ma's night monkey). RNAcentral describes it as "lncRNA (ENSANAG00000039567.1)". The record is from RNAcentral. Lineage: Eukaryota; Metazoa; Chordata; Mammalia; Primates; Aotidae.